UUGACGGGGCCCGGCACGAAGCGGUGGAGCAUGUGGUUAAUUCGACGCAACGCGAAGAACUUACCAGGGCUUGACAUCCCCUGACCGCGUAUGAAAGUACGUUUUCACCCUCGGGUGACAGGGAGACAGGUGGUGCAUGGUUGUCGUCAGCUCGUGUCGUGAGAUGUUGGGUUAAGUCCCGCAACGAGCGCAACCCCUAUUGUUAGUUGCCAUCAUUCAGUUGGGCACUCUAGCGAGACUGCCGGUAAUAAACCGGAGGAAGGUGGGGAUGACGUCAAAUCAUCAUGCCCCUUAUGACCUGGGCUACACACGUGCUACAAUGGUUGGUACAACGAGUUGCGAGUCGGUGACGGCGAGCUAAUCUCUUAAAGCCAAUCUCAGUUCGGAUUGUAGGCUGCAACUCGCCUACAUGAAGUCGGAAUCGCUAGUAAUCGCGGAUCAGCACGCCGCGGUGAAUACGUUCCCGGGCCUU
RNAcentral lists this ribosomal RNA (472 nucleotides) under uncultured Streptococcus sp. Its description in RNAcentral is "bacterial SSU rRNA". It matches the Rfam family "Bacterial small subunit ribosomal RNA", at positions 910 to 1382 of the family's 1533-position model. The record is from RNAcentral. Lineage: Bacteria; Bacillati; Bacillota; Bacilli; Lactobacillales; Streptococcaceae.